Molecule: long non-coding RNA, 2943 nt
Filed under: Carica papaya (papaya)
Lineage: Eukaryota; Viridiplantae; Streptophyta; Magnoliopsida; Brassicales; Caricaceae
Description: long non-coding RNA (CPAP_LNC006702)
Source: RNAcentral
UUUUGGUCAAGAGUGGCUUUAGAUGGCCUUUUCCCACAUGGAUAGGUGAAUGUCAUCAGGCUUCUGCUGGUUCAUGUCUCGGCUUUAGAACCUGCUGCUCCUUAGGAAGUUAAAGCUCUGGUUAGCACAUGAAAUCUUUUUUUUUCCCUAAUUUGUAUGUUUAUGUAGAUAAACAUACUUGCAUAGUUGACAAUGAUGACAAGGUAUGGAAAAUCAUUUUUGAGAUAACUAGUUUCUUUCUUGAGAUAACAAGGUAUGGAAAAUCAUAUUGAAGUAAGAAGUAGAAAUUAGUUAGGAAUUGAAUGAGAACUGAACUAAAUACAACUCUUGGUUCGACAUCAGUUGUCUUCACCUAUUACCACCGCAUUCAGCAUAUACAAACCAUUGAAGGCAUCCAGUUCUUGGCGCUUAAAAGGUCAAUUAAUCCGAUGCUGACGCUUAGGAAAAUUUCGAAUAGCUUUCACUUUAAGCAAUACUAUAAGUUCCUUCAUUUUUCUGCCGUCCGCUUUUACUGUAUUGAUCUUCUUUUAAUUAUUUACAGAUUGUCUAGCUAAGUUAAGAUAUGGAGGUUUAUUUGUAAAGUUUUGAGUGCUUUACUGGCAUAAGCUUUAUGCUAUUAAACGUUUUGAUUAAAGAUAUACUUAUUUAUUGCUAUUUAAUUUAAUAAAAGACUGAAAUUUGCGACAAAAAUGUUUUAAGGGUUUAAGUUAUAGAAUUUUGAGAUAAAAUUAUCUUUUACUUAUCACCAAUGUAUUGGAAGACUUUAUAUGCUGUCUAGCUUCUUUCAUGUUAAAUUGUUGCAAAAACUUAUAAGCUUUCUAAUUACCCAGCUUUGGCUUUUCAUCCUAUUCAAACAUGUUUCCAACAAUAUUAAUCUCAGAGAGCUUACGAACUCUUUUAUAAACUUUUCUUAGCCAAAAAAUAAUUUAUGUCAAACACUGUACUAGCCAUUUAAGUAUCUUUCUGCACUUCUAGGAUGUUGAAGAGGCUAGUGUUAGGCAAAAGAGCUUUUCUUGGACAUGAUUUGGUGAAAAACCUUAAGUGAUUAGAGCUGUAACUCUCCAACCGUAAUGUAAAUGCUUUCUUUAGCUGGGCCAUUUUAUGCAUCUUUUAGAAUGUAGCAUGCGCAUUAGUCCUGCAUAAUUGCUUGUGAAGAAAAAGAUAUUUAGGAUCUAAUUGAUCUAUUCAUAAGCUAAUGACUUAAUCUCUCUUAAUUUGUGAUUGAUAAUCGCAUGUAUGCAUGACAGUGCACUGUAUUAAUCUGAAUGUCUUAAUGUUCCCCUUUCUAUUGUAGCACGGUGGUGAUCAGUGGUAUGACUUUGAUGAUAGCCAUGUCUAUCCGAUCGGCCAGGAAAAGAUAAAAACUUCAGCUGCUUAUGUUCUUUUCUACAGAAGAGUUGCGGAGGUAUAACAUUAGAUUAGCAUUGUCAAUUUCUGAAGAACUACGUCGAGAUUGACUUAUUAACAGUUUUGCAAUCUUAGACCUAAAAUUCUUUCGAGUCCAUUAUUAACUAUUAACUGUAUCAUGGUGGGAGCUAAAGCAGUAAGACCAUAAAGAGGAGAAUAUUUUUAGUGAAUUUAAGAAGAAAACACAUGUAACUAACUGCUAGAGGAAGAAUGUUUAGCUUUUUAUUAGAACAUAGGAAUUUUUUCUAAGAAGGGGUUUGCUUUCAGUGUCCACUCAAAUGUAUGUUGUACAACUGAGUGUAGAUUGAAUCAUUUGAUCAGCAAUUUUGCUUCUAUCUGGAUGUGCUGUCUCAAAUUCAGAAUUUUGUUUUAAUGCUUCUAUAUUUUCUGAGUAGCUUGAGCUCGUAAACAUUCUAUAUAUUCCUGGGACAAAUUGAGCAAAGAUUUUAAUCCAUUGUAAAGCUUUUAUAAUUCAGUCUUAUGGCUGUUUGUGGAUGGAAUUCUUCUGCACGCAUGGAAUGUGUAUGUCAAUGUCAUCCCCCAGGGCUUAAACUGUGUAAAACAACAGCAAGGUCUGGUAAAUACUAUGUUUUCCUUAGCUUUGAGUAAUUUUUGGAUAUUUAUUUCGCCGAGCAUGAUAAAACAAGGUUCUUCAAUAUAUGGAUCUUCAUUUAUGUGAAAGAAUUUGCGGCUUGUACUGUUUUCUUAUUGUGAGGUUGCUGGAUCUUCCUACAUAUCUGAUUUGUGUUAAUGUACUGACACAGUCCGAGUUAUAUAAGAAAGAGGGUGCAGUGCAGCAUAAGGUGAUUUCGCUAAGUAAGUUAUCAAAACUAUACCUUCAUCGCUGUUGAACUUGCUCAAAAUGGUUGUUGAAGUCUGUCUCGGACCCUUGAAGAAAUCCGAUUGUGAUGAAUUCAGUUUCCUGUCGAAGUUACUCUGGAAUUAUCUCCUAGCAUGCAUGGUCCGAAGUUGGCAGGACGAUUUAUCAGGUAGAAAAUAGAAAAUUUCGUCCAAUUUACAUGGAGAUUUCUUUCAGCAACCACAUAAAAGUGAAUGCAGAAUUAGGUCUCAGGAGCUUUUACAAUGCUCUGUUGCACAGAUUAUCGAGAAAUUUGUCUCCUCCUCCGAACUUGGAAAAGAAAGAGAAAAAUUAGCCGACGAUUCUAGGUUUCGACAACCAUCAUGUUACUGAAAAAUACAGAAGGGAAACACAGAAUUAGGUGAGAGAGGAGCAGAGAGAGGAGACAGCAAAGAGAGGGUUUUUUUUUUUUUUUCUCUCUAAUUUCAUUCACUAACAGUUCUUAUCCUUUUAUAGCCCUAGCUUAUAAUGAACCUACACAAUCUUUCACAUCAUCUUUACAUAUAGCAACACUCCUGUAAAAAUUACCUUGAACCUUGAGGUGAGAUCAGAAAUGGGUAUCAAUCAAAAUUGAAAGUUUCUCAUCAGAGAGAGAGAAAUUCUAAUUGCACAGAGCUCGCAUGGAGUUGUCUGAGGACUUGGUACCAAAUUUAAUAUACUUACCAUACCAUAUAAAA